GAUGAAGAACGCAGCGAAAUGCGAUAAGUAGUGUGAAUUGCAGAAUUCAGUGAAUCAUCGAAUCUUUGAACGCACAUUGCGCCCCUUGGUAUUCCAUGGGGCAUGCCUGUUCGAGCGUCAUUUGUACCUUCAAGCUUUGCUUGGUGUUGGGUGUUUGUCUCGCCUUUGCGUGUAGACUCGCCUUAAAAUAAUUGGCAGCCGGCGUAUUGAUUUCGGAGCGCAGUACAUCUCGCGCUUUGCACUCAUAACGACAGCGUCCAAAAGUACAUUUUACACUCUUGACCUCGGAUCAGGUAGGGAUACCCGCUGAACUUAAGAAUAUCAAUAAGCGGAGGA
Molecule: unclassified non-coding RNA, 336 nt
Filed under: soil metagenome
Description: partial contains 5.8S ribosomal RNA, internal transcribed spacer 2, and large subunit ribosomal RNA
Rfam family: 5.8S ribosomal RNA (bases 1-120)
Source: RNAcentral